GUCUAUGGCCAUACCACCCUAAACACACCUGAUCUCCUCUGAUCUCAAGCUAAGCAGGGUCAGGCCUGGUUAGUACUUGGAUGGGAGACAAAAACAAAACAUCUUUUUUUAAAAAAA
Molecule: non-coding RNA, 117 nt
Organism: Erinaceus europaeus (western European hedgehog)
Lineage: Eukaryota; Metazoa; Chordata; Mammalia; Eulipotyphla; Erinaceidae
Source: Rfam